GACCACCCCCAGCCCCAGGGCCUUCUCCUUCUGUGGCCCGGGAGUACAGUGCGCCCACCCGCUCCUGCGGAUCUUAAGGGAACACUAGUGGAGUCGGUCCUCGCAGUUCGUGGCUCUUGGGGACCCACCGCGCAAAACAAAACAAAAAAGACCCAAAGACACACCAGCGACACGUGCGUCGCAGGCCCGGCCCGGCCCCGGCCCCGGCCCAGAGCGGCAGCGACUGGUGGAGCGAAGCGAGCGCUCAGUGGGCCUGAGGCCCCCGCGGUGACGUCCCUGCAGCAUCUCAGAGGCCGAGGUCACAGUAUCGACCCUUUUGCGCGCCCCGGAGAGUGAGCCCGUCAGCGAGCCAGGCCAACCUGUCCCCCACCCUCCAGAACACACCUGAGCCGCCCCCUUGGGCCAAACGAGGAGCUCGGAAACAGGACUAACAUCUCUUUCCCCUGGGCCGCCGUCAAGACUAAACGCAAUAGGAUCUGUGGACGUCUAGCCUGCCACGGGCACACAAGAAGCCCAGUACUGGAGACCCUGUUUUUGUUGUCA
Long non-coding RNA from Nyctereutes procyonoides (raccoon dog), 543 nucleotides. RefSeq lists it as uncharacterized. The transcript has 3 exons. The record is from RefSeq and is a predicted model, not a curated record. NCBI's taxonomy places the organism in Eukaryota, Metazoa, Chordata, Mammalia, Carnivora, Canidae.